GAGAAGUGCAAAAAAGAGGAUUGUGGAGAAAGAUAAAAAGGAAAGGACAUAUAUUUGUUCAAGUAAAUGAGAGGAGAAUCUGCUGCAUGGACAAAGCCUCAGUCCUUCCUUAAAAUGUUGACUGCUACCUUGAUUUACAAUUCGUACCUUCCCUACUUUGCUGCAUUUUUCCUUUUCAGCACCUCCCCCCACUUUUAAAAAACUAAUUUGCUCUUCUCUGGGCUUUCCCCUGCAGCCCUCUCCACAAUAGAUGAUUGUCCCGCACAGAUGCCGUCCUGCCACGAAGGCUCUUAGCCUUUCUGGCUGCUCCGCCCGCCGCUCGCCAAGUGAGGACAGAGGGUCUUUCUCUGGGGUGUGCUUUAUUUCAUAUGUGCUCAGCCGGCCUACCCUGGCUCUUCUAAUACAUAUUAAUGCUUUUCUCUCCCUGACUUAUGAGGACAGGAUCGUUUGAUCAUUUCUUGUUUUGAAUGUUCUUUUUGUGCUGACAGAGAAAGAGAUGACUUGAUGUCUGCACUAGUUUCCGUAAGGAGCAGCUUGGCAGAUACGCAGCAAAGAGAAGCAAGUGCUUAUGAACAGGUGAAACAAGUUUUGCAAAUAUCUGAGGAAGCCAAUUUUGAAAAAACCAAGGCAAGUCUAAUAAGAUGCAAAUAAAAGUGUCUUUCUUUUUUUUUUCUUUUUUCUUCUGAGUAUUUAUUUGGUUAUUCUUCUAUAACUAAACUUUGUUUUUCAAACACACAAAGUGAAUUAUCAAUCUGUUAAUGUUGACUUUUCUGAAUUAAACAAAUUUGCUAUUUGGAGAAUUCUUACUGCUCUGCAAAUACUGUUGUUGUAUCACUGUUCAGAGAAUGUAGUACAGUAUAAUACUUUGAGAGACCUAUAUGCUUAAUCUUUUUAUUUGCUGAUAAUUUGCAAUGCUGCAAAAAUCUUAACACCCAGGCAUUAGUUUGUAUGUGUUCGUAUAUGACUAAAGACAAAUGUUUUUCCUCAAUAAUUGGGAAGUUUUGAGAAAAUCCAAAUAUACCAAAGACAAUAAUAUAUACAUAUUUAGUAGCAUUUUUUUUUUUUUUUUUUUGAGACAGAGUCUUGCCCUGUCGCCCAGGCUGGAGUGCAAUGGCACGAUUUCGGCUCACAGCAACCUCUUCCUCCUGGGUUCAAGUGAUUCUCCUGCCUCAGCCUCCCAAGUAGCUGGGAUUACAGACACGGGCCAUCAUGCCCAGCUAAUUUUUGUAUUUUUAGCAGAGAUGGUGUUUCACCAUGUUAGCCAGGCUGGUCUGGAACUCAUGACCUCAGGUGAUCUGCCCAUCUCGUCCUCCCAAAGUGCUGAGAUUACAGGCGUGAGCCACUGCGCCCGGUCUUAGUAGCAUCUUUGAGUCUGGACUUACUGUAAGCACCCUUCACAAUAGCAAACGUAAACGAUGGAAUUGAUGGAAUCAACCGAAAUUGACGGAAUCAAUCUAAAUGUUCAUCACUGACAGAUUGUAUAAAGAAAAUGUGGAACAUGGACACCAUGGAAUAGUAUGCAGCCAUAAAAAGAAUGAGAUCCGAUCUUUUGCAGGAACAUGCAUGGAGCCGGAGACAGUUAUCCUUAGCAAACUAACGCAGGAACAGAAAGCCAAAUACUGCAUAUUCUUACGUAUAAGUGGGAGCUAAAUGAUAAGAACUUAUGAGCACAAAGUAGGAAACCACAGACAGUGGCAUCUCCUUGAGGAUAUAGGGUGGGAGCAGGGAGAGGAGCAGAAGAGAUCACUAUUGGGUACUGGGCUUAAUACCUGGGUGAUAAAAUAAUCUGUAUAACAAAACCCCGUGACAUGAGUUUGCCUAUGUAACAAACCUUCACAUGUACCCCCGAACCUAAAAUAAAAGU
Molecule: long non-coding RNA, 1864 nt
Filed under: Homo sapiens (human)
Lineage: Eukaryota; Metazoa; Chordata; Mammalia; Primates; Hominidae
Description: HSALNT0025062
Source: RNAcentral